GCGGCCAUGCUGGAACUGGCAGACAGGCGAGCUUGAGGUGCUCGUGCCCGCAAGGGCGUAGAGGUUCAAGUCCUCUUGGCCGCACUA
RNAcentral lists this transfer RNA (87 nucleotides) under bacterium. RNAcentral describes it as "tRNA-Leu". The record is from RNAcentral.